ACCCGGAAGCACUACGGCGGGUGCCCGCCCCGGGCCCCCUUAGACUCCGGUCUUACCCGUGCGGCAGUACUCUCAGCGCGGAGACCCGGCCGCUCGCGGAGCUCCCGCCCCGCAGCCCCGCCUGCCCUGAGGGGGCCCGCUCACGGUGGGGUCCGGAUCCGCGAGGGCGCGCGCCGGUGAGUCGUCGCCAGCCCGCGUCAACGACGUGCCGAUCGCCUGCGUCCGUCCGCGGCUGCGGGCGUGGCCACUCGUCUCCGGGCCUCGCUGAGCCCGCGCUUCGGGCUGAUGCUCACACGGGGCUCCUGAAGUUCUUGCCUUGAGAACAGAGUCCGCAGGGGAAGAGGAGGAGGAGCUGGAUUCGGGGUUUUGGCAAAGCCUGGGGAAAGGCAGCGGUGGCUCCCGGGACGGAGGGGCGGGGAGGGGAGUCUUCGGAGGAAGCCCUCGCGAUCCCCGAGCAGUUCACCAGGAAGGCUCGGGGGUUCCUCGCGGAGCCCACGGCAGUGCUGCCCUUGCAUCCGUACCGGAGCCCGAGCCGCGGAUUCGUCAGCUGCCACUGUGCGCUGAGCCCCAGCUUUCACCGGGACUAGCGCAGGAACCCACGUGCGGGUGGGGGGAGAGCCUGGGCGAGGGGCGGCUGGGGGUGGGCUACGCUGGAGAGGAGAUUCCGGGUAGGAGCCUGGGCGGGGCAGGUCCGGAAACUUGGAGAGGUUCCUGUCGGCGCUCCGCUACGAUGAGCCGCCGCUUUCACCCCCGGUGAAACCUGCCCGCAGUUCAUAGAGGGCCAACCAAGACCCGACCUCGCUUCCUCUCCAGGGGCUACACAGUGUCCCAUCUCCCUCCCCAGGCUCUCCGAUCCAGAUGUCCCUGUCUGCGGGUUGAACAGCACCCGAUUCGGGAAAGGAGGAACACUCGCUUGUCGGCCAGCAGCUUACUUCUCACUGGCCCCGCCUAGGUUGUUCUACCAACCCAUAAGCAGUGGCCUGAAAUGAGGGAAAAGGGGAUGGCUGUAGCCAGUUAGAGCCAGGCCAUGCACCCAGGCUUACCUGAAGGAAAACCUGGCCCAGCUGCUGGAAGGGGAGUGGGUGCUGGGAGCAGCCCGUGGUGGUUCAUCACAUCGUUGUGUUCCUUUUUUGAGGUGGACAAAGGAGAGGCAGCUCCUGCCUAGCAGCUCAUUGUGCAGAGCUCUGUCCCACACACCAAAGGAGUCUUGUGUCCUCCACCCUGGUGUGUAUGCAGAACCCGCUCACUGGUAAACACGGUGCCCUGAGCACCUUGUAUCCAUAGCCAGACACUAAACUAGGUACAGCCAGGGACAGUGAACAAGACCUCCAAAUGGUCUGGUGGUCAUCACUGGAGUGACAAGAGCCAGGAGGAGGGGACUGUAAGGGGGCCAGUACAGUAAUUGGAGCCUGGAAAGAUGUUGGCUUGCAGGAGGAUGAAGAGAAGGGGACAGAUUCAAGAGAUCACCAAGUGAUGUCUUUGGUGAGAGUACCCGGGCUGCUGGGACCGACUACAGACCCGUGGUAGCAGGAAGCAAGAGACCAGAGCUGGCCAAGAGGGGAACAGAGCCAAGCUGGAGGGAGCUCAGUGUACAUGCAAGAGAAGCUGAGAGUAGAAACAGCUCACCAGAGGAAGGAACCUGGACCUGAGCAGGGGAUGGACACCCCAGCAAGGCAGUAGGCAGAGACGGACGGACAUAAGGGAGGUAGAGUUAGAACUGCUGUGAAUGAGCAUGUUGGGAAAUCCUGGGCUCGACUCUGUACUUAAUGAAGUAGAGUAUCUGCAGAAAGGACCCAAAACCCUUGCGUGCAGAUCUCCCCCCGGGUGAUGUGAUGAUCACCUAGCUUGUGAGCAUAAAGGUGGGGCUGGAACCAGCACAGACACCCAGCCUGCUGCUCUUACUGGCCUCAGCAGUGAGGCAGAAAGCAGAGAAAUUGAAACUGGGACUCAGAGUGGCCCGAGAGCUCAGCACCCAGGUCCCUGCUGCAGCCUGGAGAACCAAGGGAAGGCUAGAAGGGUAGAAGACUUAAGUCAGGCAGAGGCAGGGCCAGUGUGGGGUUGGGAGGCUUGGGUUCUGGACAGGCUACCAGCACAGCCCUGAAGGGGGAGCCAAGGUCAAAGUUCAGCGAUCUGGCUCCUGCUCUCCCAGCUGACCCCUCACCCUGGCAGCCCCCCCCCCCACAGGGCACCCAGGGCAUGUGUGCUUAUGCCAGAGAACACAAUUCAAAGCUCUGAACGAACUUGAUUUGUACUAUCUGUAUGAUUUCUAGAUCUGUCGCAGUGAGGGAAAAAAGGGGCUCUUACACCUACUACUAAAAUGUAAAUUAGUAAUUGGUGAUAAAACACACUGGUGACAAAUAAUUCUUAGCCCCUAUUUAAUUACCGUGAUGGGAAAAGAAAACUUCCUAAGACACCCGGCUGCAAAGGGCAGACAGUGAGGGCCCCUCAGUGAUACUGCACCACUCUGGAAAAUAUGCCUUCAGGUUCUUUCCCGUCCCCCAGGGCAGCAGCAAAUCCUUCUUGUCGCCUUGUUUUGGCCAAAGCAGCCAAAGAUUUAAAAGUCUUUGGUUCACAGAUGGCUAGGUCGGCAAGGACUUUCCUGUUGAGCUCCACCUGG
Molecule: long non-coding RNA, 2617 nt
Organism: Lutra lutra (Eurasian river otter)
Lineage: Eukaryota; Metazoa; Chordata; Mammalia; Carnivora; Mustelidae
Exons: 2
Source: RefSeq, a predicted model, not a curated record